RNAcentral lists this long non-coding RNA (828 nucleotides) under Ananas comosus (pineapple). RNAcentral's name for it is "long non-coding RNA (ACOM_LNC041031)". Lineage: Eukaryota; Viridiplantae; Streptophyta; Magnoliopsida; Poales; Bromeliaceae. The record is from RNAcentral.
CACUGUUUAAUACGAAUGUUAUACUAUUCGAGGUGAAAAUUACACUCUUUGAAAUAGAAGUUGCACUCUUUCAACAAAAAUUAUACUAUUUCAAAAAAAAUUGCACUAUUCUCGAACCCUCGUCGUCUUUUUUUCUUCUUUUUCUUCCUCUUCUCUUCACCCCCUUCUUUCCUUCCCUUCCUGCUCUCUUUCUUACCAAGGCGAACCUCUUUACCUCGCGGGCCGCAGAGUGCCGAAGCAUAAAAACGACCUUAUCACCUUCGUUCGCUCUGCUCUUUCUUGGGCCGGCCCCGAUUUCUCCUUCUCCUUCUCCUCCUCCGGCAUCGACAGAGGUAGAGGCAGAGGCGGAGGAAGAGGAGACGGCACCACCCUCGUUACGAUCACCAAGGGUCACCGGCACCAGCGGAAGAGAAGAUGAAAGAAGAGGAGGUGGCGCUGCCCUCGUUACCAACGUCGAGGGCCGCAGAGGAGGUGAAGGAGGUGAUGAAGGUCAGAAAGAGAAAAAAGAACGAAGAAAAAAAGAAGAAGAAGAGAGAGGUAGGUUGUUUUUGUGUUUCGGUACUCCGAUGUGGCAUAAAGUGUAGGGAGGCUCGCGUUGGUGAGGAUGGGGGUCGAAAAGGGAGGGGGAGAAGGAGGAGAUGGUCAAGGGAAGAGGAAGAAGAAUAAGAAGAUGAGGGAUGAGGGUCAAAGAAUAGUGCAAUUUUCUCUAAAAUAGUGUAAUUUUUAUCGUAAUAGUACAACUUUUAUUUCAAAGAGUGUAAUUUUUAUCUCAAAGAGUGCAACGUUCAUAUUAAACAGUGCAAUUUUCUUGUAAAGUAGUUUAAUUUU